Molecule: ribosomal RNA, 400 nt
Filed under: uncultured bacterium
Lineage: Bacteria
Description: bacterial SSU rRNA
Rfam family: Bacterial small subunit ribosomal RNA
Source: RNAcentral
UGGGGAAUAUUGGACAAUGGGCGCAAGCCUGAUCCAGCAAUGCCGCGUGAGUGAUGAAGGCCUUCGGGUUGUAAAGCUCUUUUACCAGGGACGAUAAUGACGGUACCUGGAGAAUAAGCACCGGCUAACUUCGUGCCAGCAGCCGCGGUAAUACGAAGGGUGCUAGCGUUGUUCGGAAUUACUGGGCGUAAAGCGCGCGUAGGCGGCUAUCCAAGUCAGAGGUGAAAGCCUGGAGCUUAACUUCAGAACUGCCUUUGAGACUGGAUGGCUUGAGUAUGGGAGAGGUUGGCGGAAUUCCAAGUGGAGAGGUGAAAUUCGUAGAUAUUUGGAAGAACACCAGUGGCGAAGGCGGCCAACUGGACCAUUACUGACGCUGAGGUGCGAAAGCGUGGGGAGCAAA